Entelurus aequoreus (snake pipefish) is the source of this 3195-nucleotide long non-coding RNA. RefSeq lists it as uncharacterized. NCBI's taxonomy places the organism in Eukaryota, Metazoa, Chordata, Actinopteri, Syngnathiformes, Syngnathidae. The transcript is spliced from 6 exons. The record is from RefSeq and is a predicted model, not a curated record.
GCCUGCCAAAGGGGGCGCUGUGACGCCUUAAACAUGGUGAUUUCGCAGUAGAAGAAACAUCAGCUUUCCUUCAUACUUUACAUUUCAGGGCGCAGAGGCAGGAGGCCCAUCAAUGGGGGGGUAGCGUACGGAGGAAAUGGUGUGUAAUUUUGCCACCUGACACUUGUGCAUCCACCAUUAGAUGAGCCCAGCCGUCUCUGCAGGUCCAGUGAUUCGAGCAAAUCGUCUCAUGACGUCAUAGAGCUCCUGCACCUCCUUUGGGUAGCAACGCUCCAGUACUGCAAAACCACAAGGGAGAGAGAGAAAAGCAGGGAACCUGACUCUAGUGACAAAGUGGCAAGAAAAGAAAGAAGAAAAGAGCAAUGUACCUGACCUUUGAACCCUGACACUUGGUCACACUGAAGCAAAAGGUGCCACACACACACACAGGUCACACUUUGCCUACUUGCCCUGGUCCCGUGGCCCGGUUCCUUUUUAAUGGGGAUGAAAACGCCAACUCGUCACAACAGAACAGCGGACACACACAUGCACACGUUACCAACAAUAAAAUGUUUUUCACGCUGACGUCACAUGAGGGUCAACGUUGACCACGCGCCAUCACGUCACUCAUGGCGUCCACGCUCAUGAGCCACUUGUGUUUGUUGUGGGCGGGGAGAGGUUUUGACUUGUAAAGUAGAAUAUAAAACGUAAAAUGAGGUAAAUAGAAGGUAAAAAAGGUUAAAAAAACAAAAUAGAAGGUAAAACAAGGUCAAUAGAAGGAAUAUAGAAGGUAAAAUAAGGUAAAUAGAUGUUUAAAAAGGUAAAUAGAGGGUAAAAAAUAGGUAAACAAUAGAUAUAGAUGGUAAAAGAAGAUAAAACAAGGUAAAGGACGGUCAAAGAAGGUAAAUUGAAGGUAAAAUAAGUUAAAUAAAAAGUUAAAAAAAGUUGGAUGAAAGGUAAAAUAAGGUAAAACAAGAUAAAAUAAGGUAAAAGACAGUCAAAGAAGGUAAAUAAAAGGUAAAAUAAGUUAAAAAGAAGGUAAAAAAAAGUUUAAAGAAGGUGGGGCGGUAUAGCUCGGUUGGUAGAGCGGCCGUGCCAGCAACUUGAGGGUUGCAGGUUCGAUCCCCGCUUCCGCCAUCCUAGUCACUGCCGUUGUGUCCUUGGGCAAGACACUUUACCCACCUGCUCCCAGUGCCACCCACACUGGUUUGAAUGUAACUUAGAUAUUGGGUUUCACUAUGUAAAGCGCUUUGAGUCACUUGAGAAAAAGCGCUAUAUAAAUGUAAUUCACUUCACUUCACUAAAACAUUAUAAAAAAUGGUAACUAGACGGUAAAUAUAAGGUCAAAUAAGUAAAUAGAAGGUUAAAAAAAGAUUGUACAAGGUAACAUGGUCAAUUAAGGUUCUUACAAAAAUCUUUGUUUAGUUCAACUAUUUUCCCUAAAAUACACAUUGAGGCGCUAAAGUGUGUUUUACCGAUUAAUUGAACAAACUUAUUGAUAGAUUAUUCGAUUACUAAACUAACUGAUAUGGGCAUCAGUAAAUGACAAAUGCACACUAGCAUUAAACUACAAUAGUCCCACCUUCUCAGUAAUCUGUUACAAAAGGUCUGAUCGUAUCGUACGAAAACGGAUGUAAAUUUUUCAUUAAAAAAACUUUGGCAAAUCCAAUUAACUUGUUCCAGACACACACAAAUUGACGAUUCUUGUUAGAGCCAGGGGUGUGUAUUACGUGUACGCACAUUUUAUUCCCGUUUCUCACCUUCUUAAUCAAAGUGCUGCCAAUCACAACUAAGGCUGAAACGACGCGUCGACGUAGUCGACGUCAUCGGUUACGUAAAUACGUCGACGCCGUUUUUGUGCGUCGACGCGUCGCAUAUUUACGUCACACUACCGUCAUGGCGGAGCGCAAAGCAGACUGUGCGAGCGAGGGGGAAAACGCACGCCAAAAGUCGUCAAAAGUGUGGGAGUAUUUCAAUACACAGCCUAAUAAUGUUGUUGUAUGCACACUGUGUCGAGCGGAAAUGGCCUAUCAUAGCAGCACAACGGCUAUGAACGAACAUUUGAAAAGAAAACCAUCAACCAUCAACUAGUCAAUCGUCCGCGUUAGCAUACGUUGUCAUCAUUACACAAAAACAUGAAUGUGUCAUUUGUAUCUGCUAGGGGUGUAACGGUAUGUGUUUUGUAUUGAACCGUUUCGGUACGGGGCUUUCGGUUCGGUACGGGGGCGUACCGAACGAGUUUCUAAGCUAAAGCUAACUUUAGCUGCUAAAGUCUUAACAAGUUGCUUUGCUCCUCUGCCUCUGCCUCAGCACGCAGCAUUGUCCCACCCAUACAACCAUCUGAUUGGUACACACGCAGCAUUGUCCCACCCACACAACCAUCUGAUUGGUACACACGAAGCAUUAUCAGCCAAUCAGCAGUGCGUAUUCAUAGCGCAUGUAGUCAGCGCUUCAGCGUGGAGCAGAUAGGUGUUUAGCAGGUGAGCAUCAGGCAGCUGACUCUCCCCAAAUGAUAAUAAACACCUCCCAGUCAACUACUAGUAACAUCACUAUGAGCCCGUUGACCUACUAGAAACUUAAACUGCAGCUCAGCUCGCUCACAGUCCUGGUUUGAGGUGAAGGCUAAUUACCUCUCAGUUCCAGCCACAUCGACCCCUUCUGAGUGCCUAUUUUCAGCUGCUGGGAAUAUUGUAAACAAGAAAAGAAGCAAAGCAUGUAGACAUGCUAACCUUUCUUCAUUACAACUGUUAGUCACUCACUGGAAUGAGUAGAAUUAGUUAUUGUGUACUGUGUUGGACUGGAUGUUUAUUUUGCACAUUUUAAAAGCAAUACUUAAUGUUUACAGUGCUCCAGAAUAUUUAGAUUGGCACUUUUUUGUAUUGGAUGUUUAUCUUUAUUUUUGCACAUUUUAGCAAAUAAGCAAUACUUUCACUUUUGUUGAGAUGUUUACACUGUUGUUACAGAAUAUUUCGUUUUGCACUUUUUUGUAUUGGAUGUUUAUCUUUAUUUUUGCACAUUUUAAAGCAAAAUAAGCGAUACUUUUACUUUUGAAAUGCUUAUACUAUUGCAGAAUAUUAAGAUUUGCACUGGAUGUUUACUUUUAUAUUUGCACAUUAAAAAGCAAAUAAGCUACUUUUAAUUUUGUUAAAUGUUAAAAGUUUUAAAUGUUUACAUUGUUACAGAAUAUUUUGACAUGUUGUUGUCAAUGUUGACUGA